Bombyx mori (domestic silkworm) is the source of this 575-nucleotide long non-coding RNA. RefSeq lists it as uncharacterized. The record is from RefSeq and is a predicted model, not a curated record. Lineage: Eukaryota; Metazoa; Arthropoda; Insecta; Lepidoptera; Bombycidae. The transcript is spliced from 2 exons.
GAAUGGAUGAGUCAAUCCGCUUUCUAGUUUGAGCACAGCAAGCCUUUUUACUUCUUUUUUUUCCUACCUAAGCUGAUGGUCUAGGGAGACCAUAAUAUCAGCGUAACCUUAACAAGUAGGUGAGCUCACGGGGCUCAAAUCUGACGACGUUGCUAACACGAACCCCAGCAAGAGCCGUGCUUCGCAGAAUUCCUGCCGUGAAGCAAUAAUGUGUUUCGGUCUGAAGGAAAAAAUCGAAUGCAGGAGAAACUGUGCCUUAUUCAGCUAUAGUGUGGAUGCAGUUCCGAAAAAAAUAGAUGGGUUCAUUUGACCAGGAAACAUUCUAACAAGUCAGUUUUAUUAGAAACAAACGAAGAGCAUGUUCGAUGUCCGCGACGAAACCUAUUGGAGAAACUCGAAAACCCAUUUCAGGACUGAAAUACAACGACUUACAAAAAUCGUUGCAGUGGAUUCCAUCUGUUUCAUGAAUAUUAAAAUAAUCUUCCAUGAGCGGAAGUUCCUGACUUGCCUGAAGGCUGCGAGUGAGCUAUUAGUCUCCUAUAAAUAAUCAGAUAAAUAAAUAUUUCAAUUUCUUA